RNAcentral lists this ribosomal RNA (484 nucleotides) under uncultured bacterium. RNAcentral describes it as "partial 16S ribosomal RNA". It matches the Rfam family "Bacterial small subunit ribosomal RNA", at positions 30 to 507 of the family's 1533-position model. The record is from RNAcentral.
AUUGAACGCUGGCGGCAGGCCUAACACAUGCAAGUCGAGCGGAUGAAGGGAGCUUGCUCCUGGAUUCAGCGGCGGACGGGUGAGUAAUGCCUAGGAAUCUGCCUGGUAGUGGGGGAUAACGUCCGGAAACGGGCGCUAAUACCGCAUACGUCCUGAGGGAGAAAGUGGGGGAUCUUCGGACCUCACGCUAUCAGAUGAGCCUAGGUCGGAUUAGCUAGUUGGUGGGGUAAAGGCCUACCAAGGCGACGAUCCGUAACUGGUCUGAGAGGAUGAUCAGUCACACUGGAACUGAGACACGGUCCAGACUCCUACGGGAGGCAGCAGUGGGGAAUAUUGGACAAUGGGCGAAAGCCUGAUCCAGCCAUGCCGCGUGUGUGAAGAAGGUCUUCGGAUUGUAAAGCACUUUAAGUUGGGAGGAAGGGCAGUAAGUUAAUACCUUGCUGUUUUGACGUUACCAACAGAAUACGCACCGGCUAACUUCGUG